UACGUAGGUCCCGAGCGUUGUCCGGAUUCACUGGGCGUAAAGGGAGCGCAGGCGGCACGGCAAGUCCGGUGUGAAAGCCCGGGGCCCAACCCCGGGACUGCACUGGAAACUGCCGGGCUGGAGUGUCGGAGGGGCAGGCGGAAUUCCUAGUGUAGCGGUGAAAUGCGUAGAUAUUAGGAGGAACACCGGUGGCGAAGGCGGCCUGCUGGACGACGACUGACGCUGAGGCUCGAAAGCGUGGGGAGCAAACAGG
RNAcentral lists this ribosomal RNA (253 nucleotides) under uncultured bacterium. Its description in RNAcentral is "partial 16S ribosomal RNA". It matches the Rfam family "Bacterial small subunit ribosomal RNA", at positions 524 to 776 of the family's 1533-position model. The record is from RNAcentral.